GCCAGCUCUGCCUCCUGGGUUCACGCCAUUCUCCUGCCUCAGCCUCCGGAGUAACUGGGACUACAGGCGCCCGCCACUGCACCUGGCCAAUUUUUUUUUUUUGUAUUUUUAGUAGAGAUGGGAUUUCACUGUGCUAGCCAGGAUGGUCGCGAUCCACCCGCCUCGGCCUCCCAAAGUGCUGGGAUUACAGGCAUGAGCCACCGUGACCGUCUGAUGUAAGUAUUUCCAGCUAUAAGUUUCACUGAGUACCCCUGUCACACCAUCUCAUAAAUUUUGGUAUCUUGCAUUUUAUUUUAAUUCAUCUGAAAGUAUUUCAAUUUCUCUAGUCAUUUCUUCUUUGAGCCACUGGUUAAGAAUGUUGUUUAACUUUCACUUACUUGCAAAUUCUCCAGGUUUUCCUGUUAUUGACUUCUAGCUUCAUUACACUUUUGUUGGAAAAGACACUUUGCAUAAUUUUUUUUUUUUUGAGACAGAGUCUCAGUCUGUUGCUCAAGGUGGAGUGCAGUGGUGUGAUCUCGGCUCAUUGCAACCUCUGCCUCCCAGAUUCAAGCAAUUCUCCUAGCUCAACCUUCCAAGUAGCUGGGAUUACAGGUGCCUGCCUCCACUCCCAGCUAAUUUUUUGUAUUUUUUAUUAGAGUUGGGGUUUUGCCAUGCUGGCCAGGCUGGUUUCGAACCCCUGACCACAGGUCAUCCACCCACCUUGGCCUCCCAAAGUGCUGG
This 720-nucleotide long non-coding RNA is filed under the name Homo sapiens (human). RNAcentral describes it as "non-protein coding lnc-FAM25A-3:1". The record is from RNAcentral. Lineage: Eukaryota; Metazoa; Chordata; Mammalia; Primates; Hominidae.